This 429-nucleotide ribosomal RNA is filed under the name uncultured bacterium. Its description in RNAcentral is "bacterial SSU rRNA". It matches the Rfam family "Bacterial small subunit ribosomal RNA", at positions 29 to 417 of the family's 1533-position model. The record is from RNAcentral.
AAUGAACGUUGGCGGCGUGGAUUAGGCAUGCAAGUCGAGCGGUAGGGAACUGCUCACUUCAAGCUGUUUGGCUAAUAGCUAAAAGCUAGUAGCUAACAGCUUCGAAGUGAGCAGUUCCUGAGAGCGGCGAAAGGGAGAGUAACGCGUAGUUACGUGCCCCGAGGACCGGAAUAGCCACGGGAAACUGUGGGUAAUGCCGGAUGUUGUCUUCGGACUAAAGGUGUGAUUCCGCCUGGGAGCGGACUGCGUUGUACUAGCUAGUUGGUAGGGUAAUGGCCUACCAAGGCGAUGAUGCAUAGCGGGUGUGAGAGCAUGACCCGUCUCACUGGGACUGAGACACUGCCCAGACACCUACGGGUGCUGCAGUCGAGAAUCUUCGGCAAUGCGCGCAAGCGUGACCGAGCGACGCCGUGUGUGGGAUGAAGGCCU